GCUGUUCCCAGAAGAGAGGGUCUCUCCGAGUGACUGUCUGAGUUCUCCCCAGUCAUGUGUGGCAAGGAGACAACCAAGCUUCUCUAAUGACGAGAAAGCCAAGAUCUCAGAGGCGUCUGUUGAAAAUUCUAACUCACUUUUGGGAUUGGCUACUUGGGCCCAUCAGAAAUGUGGACACUUGGGAGAGAAAGCCACUCACAGGCGAAGCUCAUUGGUCCGGCUGUUAUUGUGAUGACCGUGCUUACUCUACACCCUUUGGUCGGC
This is a long non-coding RNA of Pelobates fuscus (common spadefoot toad), 264 nucleotides long. RefSeq lists it as uncharacterized. The transcript has 3 exons. Lineage: Eukaryota; Metazoa; Chordata; Amphibia; Anura; Pelobatidae. The record is from RefSeq and is a predicted model, not a curated record.